UGAUCACCAUUAUUCCCAAUAGCCAGUCACUGAUCACUAUUGUUCACAAUGACCAAUCACAGACCACCAUCACUCCCAGUGACAAAUGAAUGAUUACCAUUGAUCCCAACAACCAAUCAGUGAUCACCAUCAUUCCCAAUGUCCAAGCAAUGAUCAUCCUUGUUUCCUACAUUCAAUCAAUGAUACCAUUGUUUCCAAUAACCAAUCACUGAUCACUGUUGUUUUCAACAACCAACCAUUGAUCACCAUCAAUCCCAAUGUCCAAGCAAUGAUCAUCAUUGUUUCCAACAUCCAAUCAAUAAUAUCAUUGAUUCCAACGAACAAUCACUGAUCACCCUUGUUUUCAACAUCCAAUUACCGAUCACUAUCAUUCCUGAUAACAAAUCCCUGACCUCCAAUGUUUUGGUUAUAUUUACAGUAAAAAAAUAAUAAAUAAAUAAAAAAGUUUUUUUUUUUUCCCAUCUGUAUCUAUCGCUCAUAUCUAUUUUCUAACUCACUACCACGACAUUUUGUUUGCGUUCUUGAUGGAAAUGAUGGAAUUUUGUACAGUUUCCGCUUGUGAUGUCAUGACCAAGAAAUAAGGUAUAAGGUAUAAUUUUACAUUCGGAUAAAGCCCUACACGAUAUACUUGCAAAGAAUCAUGAUGAUUCAGUGAAUAUGCAAAUGAGUCUGUGAUGUCCCCUGGUGACCCCAACCAACGUUUUGCUUUCUGAGCCUGUGUUCCACUGAACAGUGGAUGAGUUUGCAAUGCUGCACGUACAGUACACGUGCUGUGAAAGUGUUAAUGCAAAUAGCCGGCCAGUAUAAAUCAGCGUCCAGCCGCAGCCCGGAGAGAAAAUAGUGUAAUAGUUAUUGAGAAAUGAAGUGGCACUGAGAUCAAUACGCCACUAUAUCUCACUUGGAUGGAGAGACACGAGGGGCUUGGAGCAGGGGUCCUCAGUGUUGCAUCCAGAGGGCACUAUAAAUCUGUGUGUGUGUGUGUGUGUGUGUGUGUGUGUGUGUGUGUGUGUGUGUUAAUCAUGCGUAAAACUUGCUUUAGAGAACGCACUGCCAAGUACUAACUUAGUUUUGUUUUCUAAUAGUGCAUUGAGUCGUCUGAGUGUUUAUAACGCAUUCAUAAGCAUUACAUAAACCAUUCAUAGAGAAAUAGCAGAUUAUUUAUAAUAGUAGUAAUAGUUAUAGUAGUAGUAAUAGUGGUAGUAGUAAUAGUAGUACUAGUUAUAGUAGUAGCAGUAGUAGUAGUAGAAAUCGUAGUAGUAAUAGUGGUAGUAGUACUAGUUAUAGUAGUAGUAGUAGUAGUACUAAUAAUAGUAGUAGUAGUAAUACUGGUAAUAAUUAUAGUAGUAGUAGUAAUAUUGGUAAUAAUAAUAGUAGUAGUAGAAGUCGUAGUAGUAAUAGUGGCAGUAGUAAUAAUAGUAGUACUAGUUAUAGUAGUAGUAGUAGUAAUAUUGAUAAUAGUAGUAGUAGUAGUAGUAGUAGAAGUCAUAGUAGUUAUAGUGGUAGUAGUAGUAGUAGUAUUACUAGUUGUAGUAGUA
Long non-coding RNA from Ictalurus punctatus (channel catfish), 1535 nucleotides. The record is from Ensembl. NCBI's taxonomy places the organism in Eukaryota, Metazoa, Chordata, Actinopteri, Siluriformes, Ictaluridae.